RNAcentral lists this long non-coding RNA (608 nucleotides) under Gallus gallus (chicken). RNAcentral's name for it is "lncRNA (ENSGALG00010026096.1)". Lineage: Eukaryota; Metazoa; Chordata; Aves; Galliformes; Phasianidae. The record is from RNAcentral.
CAACAGGUGUGUCGGAGUUUCAGGUGUGCCGGGGAGUUUCUACUGUGUUUAGCAAGGCGAGAUCUUCUGAUGAAGCUGUAAGUUUGCAGGUUUCGUUUUGGUACUUGAAAUGCAAAGUGGGGCUCAUUUCCACCCACAGGAAUGAGUUCCUGUAAGUCUAGUAAGACGCAGGAGGUGUCCAGCUAUCUCAGAGACCAGCAUGCUUCUCAGAAACUACCUCUGGCUAGAGCAGAGGCGGUCCUGCACACAGUAGCAAGAAGCAAGUACCACGAGUUAGAAUUUCAUAUUUUGGGAGAUGGUGUCUUGUGUUUCCCCCUGAACACUCUUUGAUGUACCAGGCUGCUGAGAUCGACAAGUCGCAACCGGACUGAACCUGGAGCAGCUCCUCUGAGUGCUCAUGCCUGUUUAAAAGAAUGGGACAAUACUGAAGGUCAUAAUCUGAGACUCUUGGACUUCACACUCCGUAAAGGUAAACUGAUAGGUAUGGUGUGUGUGAAAGGGCUCCUGAGGUCUUACCCCAAAGGAGAGCAAUCUGGAAAGCCCAGAGGAUUACCCUUGUGAUAAGUGCACAAGCAUGAUGACUGGGGAUGUGGAGGUGGAGAGACAGG